UGUUGGUCCCCUCGCAAUGAUAGAUUUCGAACCCCGCCAGGCCCGGAAGGGAGCAACGGUAGAGAUUGACUCAUGUGCCGGGGUGUGGCUGGCAAAG
This 97-nucleotide signal recognition particle RNA is filed under the name Gammaproteobacteria bacterium CG22_combo_CG10-13_8_21_14_all_40_8. RNAcentral's name for it is "signal recognition particle sRNA small type". It matches the Rfam family "Bacterial small signal recognition particle RNA". From Rfam's summary of the family: The signal recognition particle (SRP) is a universally conserved ribonucleoprotein involved in the co-translational targeting of proteins to membranes. Archaeal SRP consists of a 7S RNA and homologues of the eukaryotic SRP19 and SRP54 proteins. Lineage: Bacteria; Pseudomonadati; Pseudomonadota; Gammaproteobacteria. The record is from RNAcentral.